GCUUUACUGUAACUUGAGAUUGAAAUUGGACUUUAUUUGCGCAGCAUAGGUGGGAGACGUUGAGAAUAUUCUUGCGGGAAUAUUGGAGUCAUCAGUGAGAUACCACUCUUGUAAUGUUAGAUUUCUAACUUUGAAUCAUUAUCUGGUCAAAGGACAGUUUCAGGCGGGCAGUUUGACUGGGGCGGUCGCCUCCUAAACGGUAACGGAGGCGCACAAAGGUUUCCUCUGAACGUGUAGAAAUCGUAUCUAGAGUGUAAAGGCAUAAGGAAGCUUGACUGUGAGACCUACAAGUCGAGCAGGGACGAAAGUCGGUCUUAGUGAUCUGACGGUGCUGAGUGGAAAGGCCGUCACUCAACGGAUAAAAGUUAC
RNAcentral lists this ribosomal RNA (369 nucleotides) under Melanothamnus japonicus. Its description in RNAcentral is "partial 23S ribosomal RNA". It matches the Rfam family "Bacterial large subunit ribosomal RNA", at positions 2098 to 2466 of the family's 2925-position model. Lineage: Eukaryota; Rhodophyta; Florideophyceae; Ceramiales; Rhodomelaceae. The record is from RNAcentral.